Molecule: long non-coding RNA, 127 nt
Organism: Sphaeramia orbicularis (orbiculate cardinalfish)
Lineage: Eukaryota; Metazoa; Chordata; Actinopteri; Kurtiformes; Apogonidae
Exons: 2
Source: RefSeq, a predicted model, not a curated record
AACCCUAUCGUGCAUGAUGUACACAUUUGUGGACACAUACUUUAAGCUCAUUUUCCAAAGGGUUUUAAAGGCAAUAUUCUCCAAACCACAUGGGGGCAGUCUCUAUAGACCCUAAUCAAUACAAUGA